RNAcentral lists this long non-coding RNA (310 nucleotides) under Salvia miltiorrhiza (redroot sage). Its description in RNAcentral is "long non-coding RNA (SMIL_LNC014200)". Lineage: Eukaryota; Viridiplantae; Streptophyta; Magnoliopsida; Lamiales; Lamiaceae. The record is from RNAcentral.
UCUUAGUCGGGCUGGCGACUUAAAAACUAGCGCUGCAUGGGAGGCAACCCAUGUUUUCUUGCUUUUUCUUAUUUUCAUUUUUCUUUCGUUUUGUUUGUGUUUGUGUUUUGUUGCUUCUGUUGUUUGGUGCAGGUUGAUGCGUUGGAGAUUGUUUGUUCUUUGGAUGAGAGAUAGGCAGACAUCGUGGGAAACUACGGCUCACCACUUGGAUCGAUAUUCAGGGAUGUUUUUCUCUUUCACCCCUAUUUUUUGCGAGCACUGAGGACAGUGCUAGAUUUUAACUGUGGGGGGGUGUUUGUUGAUCCUAUGG